Molecule: ribosomal RNA, 729 nt
Filed under: Klebsiella sp. POT-1
Lineage: Bacteria; Pseudomonadati; Pseudomonadota; Gammaproteobacteria; Enterobacterales; Enterobacteriaceae
Description: bacterial SSU rRNA
Rfam family: Bacterial small subunit ribosomal RNA
Source: RNAcentral
AGCGGUAGCACAGAGAGCUUGCUCUCGGGUGACGAGCGGCGGACGGGUGAGUAAUGUCUGGGAAACUGCCUGAUGGAGGGGGAUAACUACUGGAAACGGUAGCUAAUACCGCAUAACGUCGCAAGACCAAAGUGGGGGACCUUCGGGCCUCAUGCCAUCAGAUGUGCCCAGAUGGGAUUAGCUAGUAGGUGGGGUAAUGGCUCACCUAGGCGACGAUCCCUAGCUGGUCUGAGAGGAUGACCAGCCACACUGGAACUGAGACACGGUCCAGACUCCUACGGGAGGCAGCAGUGGGGAAUAUUGCACAAUGGGCGCAAGCCUGAUGCAGCCAUGCCGCGUGUAUGAAGAAGGCCUUCGGGUUGUAAAGUACUUUCAGCGAGGAGGAAGGCGUUAAGGUUAAUAACCUUGGCGAUUGACGUUACUCGCAGAAGAAGCACCGGCUAACUCCGUGCCAGCAGCCGCGGUAAUACGGAGGGUGCAAGCGUUAAUCGGAAUUACUGGGCGUAAAGCGCACGCAGGCGGUCUGUCAAGUCGGAUGUGAAAUCCCCGGGCUCAACCUGGGAACUGCAUUCGAAACUGGCAGGCUAGAGUCUUGUAGAGGGGGGUAGAAUUCCAGGUGUAGCGGUGAAAUGCGUAGAGAUCUGGAGGAAUACCGGUGGCGAAGGCGGCCCCCUGGACAAAGACUGACGCUCAGGUGCGAAAGCGUGGGGAGCAAACAGGGAUUAGAUA